UUUUUAUUAACUUUUUCGGAAGGUAUGCUUAAAGAGGGGCUUGCGUCACAUUAGUUAGUUGGCAGGGUAAAGGCCUACCAAGACUAUGAUGUGUAGCUGGACUGAGAGGUUGAACAGCCACAUUGGGACUGAGACACGGCCCAAACUCCUACGGGAGGCAGCAGUAGGGAAUUUUCGGCAAUGGAGGAAACUCUGACCGAGCAACGCCGCGUGAACGAUGAAGUAUUUCGGUAUGUAAAGUUCUUUUAUUGAAGAAGAAAAAAUAGUGGAAAAACUAUCUUGACGAUAUUCAAUGAAUAAGCCCCGGCAAACUAUGUGCCAGCAGCCGCGGUAAUACAUAGGGGGCGAGCGUUAUCCGGAAUUAUUGGGCGUAAAGGGUGCGUAGGCGGUUUAAUAAGUCUAUAGUUUAAUUUCAGUGCUUAACACUGUCCUGCUAUAGAAACUAUUAGACUAGAGUGAGAUAGAGGCAAGUGGAAUUCCAUGUGUAGCGGUAAAAUGCGUAAAUAUAUGGAGGAACACCAGAGGCGUAGGCGGCUUGCUGGGUCUUUACUGACGCUGAGGCACGAAAGCGUGGGGAGCAAACAGGAUUAGAUACCCUGGUAGUCCACGCCGUAAACGAUGAGUACUAAGUGUCGGGAUUACUCGGUACUGAAGUUAACACAUUAAGUACUCCGCCUGAGUAGUACGUACGCAAGUAUGAAACUUAAAGGAAUUGACGGGACUCCGCACAAGCGGUGGAUCAUGUUGUUUAAUUUGAAGAUACACGAAAAACCUUACCAGGUCUUGACAUACUCUGCAAAGCUAUAGCAAUAUAGUGGAGGUUAUCAGAGAUACAGGUGGUGCAUGGUUGUCGUCAGCUCGUGUCGUGAGAUGUUAGGUUAAGUCCUAAAACGAGCGCAACCCUUGUCAUUAGUUGCCAGCAUGUCAUGAUGGGCACUUUAAUGAGACUGCCAAUGAAAAAUUGGAGGAAGGUGAGGAUCACGUCAAAUCAUCAUGCCCCUUAUGAUCUGGGCUACAAACGUGAUACAAUGGCUGUUACAAAGAGUAGCUGAAACGCAAGUUUAUAGCCAAUCUCAUAAAAGCAGUCUCAGUUCGGAUUGAAGUCUGCAACUCGACUUCAUGAAGUUGGAAUCGCUAGUAAUCGCGAAUCAGCAGCGCGGAACCCUCAAAAAAAAAAAAACCAUAC
RNAcentral lists this ribosomal RNA (1186 nucleotides) under Sugarcane whiteleaf phytoplasma. Its description in RNAcentral is "bacterial SSU rRNA". It matches the Rfam family "Bacterial small subunit ribosomal RNA", at positions 185 to 1358 of the family's 1533-position model. The record is from RNAcentral. Lineage: Bacteria; Bacillati; Mycoplasmatota; Mollicutes; Acholeplasmatales; Acholeplasmataceae.